This 3143-nucleotide ribosomal RNA is filed under the name Actinomycetes bacterium. Its description in RNAcentral is "Actinobacteria bacterium 23S ribosomal RNA". It matches the Rfam family "Bacterial large subunit ribosomal RNA". The record is from RNAcentral. Lineage: Bacteria; Bacillati; Actinomycetota; Actinomycetes.
ACAGUGGACGCGAGCAUCUAAUCUUUGUGGUCAAGUUACUAAGGGCACACGGUGGAUGCCUUGGCACCAGGAGCCGAUGAAGGACGUAGGAGGCUGCGAAAAGCCUCGGGGAGCUGCCAACCGAGCUGUGAUCCGGGGAUGUCCGAAUGGGGAAACCCGGCUGGAGUCAUGUCCAGUCACCCUCGCCUGAACACAUAGGGCGAGCGGAGGGAACGUGGGGAAGUGAAACAUCUCAGUACCCACAGGAAGAGAAAACAACAGUGAUUCCGCGAGUAGUGGCGAGCGAAAGCGGAAGAGGCCAAACCAUCAUUGCGUGAUAGCCGCCAGGCGUUGCAGUGGUGGGGUUGUGGGACCGUUCAGUCAGUGCUGGCGCGCUGGCAGGGAGUCAGAAACGAGCGUCGUAGUCGAAGGCCAUGCGAAAGGGCCGGCACAGAAGGUAACACCCCUGUAGACGAAACGACGUUCACUCCCGAGCGUGUUCCCAAGUAGCACGGAGCCCGAGAAAUUCCGUGUGAAUCCGGCGGGACCACCCGCUAAGCCUAAAUACUACCUGGUGACCGAUAGCGGACAAGUACCGUGAGGGAAAGGUGAAAAGUACCCCGGGAGGGGAGUGAAAUAGUACCUGAAACCGCGUGCCUACAAGCCGUAGGAGCCUAGGGGUCUUCGGACCUUGGUGACUGCGUGCCUUUUGAAGAAUGAGCCUGCGAGUUAGCGGUGUGUGGCGAGGUUAACCCGUGUGGGGUAGCCGUAGCGAAAGCGAGUCCGAAUAGGGCGAUUGAGUCGCACGCUCUAGACCCGAAGCGGAGUGAUCUACCCAUGGCCAGGGUGAAGCGCGGGUAAGACCGCGUGGAGGCCCGAACCCACCGGCGUUGAAAAGCCGGGGGAUGAGCUGUGGGUAGGGGUGAAAGGCCAAUCAAACUCCGUGAUAGCUGGUUCUCCCCGAAAUGCAUUUAGGUGCAGCGUCGCGUGUUUCUUACCGGAGGUAGAGCACUGGAUGGCCUAGGGGGCCUACAAGCUUACUGAAGUCAGCCAAACUCCGAAUGCCGGUAAGUGAGAGCGCGGCAGUGAGACUGCGGGGGAUAAGCUCCGUAGUCGAGAGGGAAACAGCCCAGACCACCAACUAAGGCCCCUAAGCGUGUGCUAAGUGGGAAAGGAUGUGGAGUCGCAGAGACAACCAGGAGGUUGGCUUAGAAGCAGCCACCCUUGAAAGAGUGCGUAAUAGCUCACUGGUCAAGUGAUUCCGCGCCGACAAUGUAGCGGGGCUCAAGCACACCGCCGAAGUUGUGGCAUUCACACUGAUAACCAGGCCCUUGUGGUCCAGGUGUGUGGAUGGGUAGGGGAGCGUCGUGUGGCGAGCGAAGCGGCGGGGUGACCCAGCCGUGGACGCCACACGAGUGAGAAUGCAGGCAUGAGUAGCGAAUGACGGGUGAGAAACCCGUCCGCCGAAUGACCAAGGGUUCCAGGGCCAGGCUAAUCCGCCCUGGGUAAGUCGGGACCUAAGGCGAGGCCGACAGGCGUAGUCGAUGGACAACGGGUUGAUAUUCCCGUACCGGCUGUAUCGCGCCCAUGCUGAACCCAGUGACGCUAAGCGCCCAAAGCGGAGCCGUCUUCGGAUGGCGAAGUGGCGGCCGCGACCCAAUCUGGUAGUAGGCAAGCGAUGGGGUGACGCAGGAGGGCAGUCCAACCGCGGCGAUGGUAGACCGCGGCCAAGGUUGUAGGGCGAGGUGUAGGCAAAUCCGCACCUCAUAUGCCUGAGAACUGAUGGGGAGCCGAUUCAGGUGAAGUGGAUGAUCCCAUGCUGCCAAGAAAAGCCUCUAGCGAGUGAUACGGCCGCCCGUACCCCAAACCGACACAGGUGGUCAGGUAGAGAAUACCAAGGCGAUCGAGUGAACCGUGGUUAAGGAACUCGGCAAAAUGCCCCCGUAACUUCGGGAGAAGGGGGGCCGCGGCUGGUGACGGGACUUGCUCCCGGAAGCUGGCUACGGCCGCAGAGACCAGGCUGAAGCGACUGUUUACUAAAAACACAGGUCCAUGCAAAGUCGCAAGACGACGUAUAUGGACUGACGCCUGCCCGGUGCUGGAACGUUAAGGGGACGGGUCAGCGACUUCGGUCGCGAAGCUCAGAACUUAAGCGCCAGUAAACGGCGGUGGUAACUAUAACCAUCCUAAGGUAGCGAAAUUCCUUGUCGGGUAAGUUCCGACCUGCACGAAUGGCGUAACGACUUCAGCGCUGUCUCAACCACGGACUCGGCGAAAUUGCACUACGAGUAAAGAUGCUCGUUACGCGCGGCAGGACGGAAAGACCCCGGGACCUUCACUAUAGCUUGGUAUUGGUGGUUGGUUCGGCUUGUGUAGGAUAGGUGGGAGACUGUGAAGCAUGGACGCCAGUUCAUGUGGAGUCGUCCUUGAAAUACCACUCUGGUCGUACUGGCUGUCUAACCUCGGUCCGUGAUCCGGAUCAGGGACAGUGCCUGGUGGGUAGUUUAACUGGGGCGGUUGCCUCCUAAAGAGUAACGGAGGCGCUCAAAGGUUCCCUCAGCCUGGUUGGCAAUCAGGUGUCGAGUGCAAGUGCACAAGGGAGCUUGACUGUGAGACCGACGGGUCGAGCAGGGACGAAAGUCGGAACUAGUGAUCCGGCGCAUGCAGGUGGAAGCGGCGUCGCUCAACGGAUAAAAGGUACCCCGGGGAUAACAGGCUGAUCUUGCCCAAGAGUCCAUAUCGACGGCAUGGUUUGGCACCUCGAUGUCGGCUCGUCGCAUCCUGGGGCUGGAGUAGGUCCCAAGGGUUGGGCUGUUCGCCCAUUAAAGCGGUACGCGAGCUGGGUUUAGAACGUCGUGAGACAGUUCGGUCCCUAUCCGCCGCGCGCGCAGGAGUCUUGAGGAGGGCUGUCCCUAGUACGAGAGGACCGGGACGGACGAACCUCUGGUGUGCCAGUUGUCCUGCCAAGGGCAUGGCUGGUUGGCUACGUUCGGAAGGGAUAACCGCUGAAAGCAUCUAAGCGGGAAGCUCGCUCCAAGAUGAGGACUCCCACAGGGUUAACCUGGUAAGGCCCCCAGCGAGAACACUGGGUUGAUAGGCCGGAGGUGGAAGCGCGGUAACGCGUGGAGCUGACCGGUACUAAUAGGCCGAGGACUUGCCCACAA